AGUGAACGCUGGCGGUAGGCCUAACACAUGCAAGUCGAACGGCAGCACAGUAAGAGCUUGCUCUUACGGGUGGCGAGUGGCGGACGGGUGAGGAAUACAUCGGAAUCUACUUUUUCGUGGGGGAUAACGUAGGGAAACUUACGCUAAUACCGCAUACGACCUACGGGUGAAAGCAGGGGAUCUUCGGACCUUGCGCGAUUGAAUGAGCCGAUGUCGGAUUAGCUAGUUGGCGGGGUAAAGGCCCACCAAGGCGACGAUCCGUAGCUGGUCUGAGAGGAUGAUCAGACACACUGGAACUGAGACACGGUCCAGACUCCUACGGGAGGCAGCAGUGGGGAAUAUUGGACAAUGGGCGCAAGCCUGAUCCAGCCAUACCGCGUGGGUGAAGAAGGCCUUCGGGUUGUAAAGCACUUUUGUUGGGAAAGAAAAGCAGCAGGUUAAUACCCCGCUGUUCUGACGGUACCCAAAGAAUAAGCACCGGCUAACUUCGUG
Molecule: ribosomal RNA, 492 nt
Filed under: uncultured bacterium
Lineage: Bacteria
Description: partial 16S ribosomal RNA
Rfam family: Bacterial small subunit ribosomal RNA
Source: RNAcentral